Long non-coding RNA from Oncorhynchus keta (chum salmon), 548 nucleotides. RefSeq lists it as uncharacterized. The transcript is spliced from 3 exons. The record is from RefSeq and is a predicted model, not a curated record. NCBI's taxonomy places the organism in Eukaryota, Metazoa, Chordata, Actinopteri, Salmoniformes, Salmonidae.
GUGGUGGCCUGUCUGGUGUCUGUAAAGGUGGUGGCCUGUCUGGUGUCUGUAAAGGUGGUGGCCUGUCUGGUGUCUGUAAAGGUGGUGGCCUGUCUGGUGUCUGUAAAGGUGGUGGCCUGUCUGGUGUCUGUAAAGGUGGUGGCCUGUCUGGUGUCUGUAAAGGUGGUGGUCUGUCUGGUGUCUGUAAAGGUGGUGGCCUGUCUGGUGUCUGUAAAGGUGGUGGCCUGUCUGGUGUCUGUAAAGGUGGUGGCCUGUCUGGUGUCUGUAAAGGUGGUGGCCUGUCUGGUGUCUGUAAAGGUGGUGGUCUGUCUGGUGUCUGUAAAGGUGGUGGCCUGUCUGGUGUCUGUAAAGGUGGUGGCCUGUCUGGUGUCUGUAAAGGUGGUGGCCUGUCUGGUGUCUGUAAAGGUGGUGGCCUGUCUGGUGUCUGUAAAGGUGGUGGCCUGUCUGGUGUCUGUAAAGGUGGUGGCCUGUCUGGUGUCUGUAAAGGUGGUGGCCUGUCUGGUGUCUGUAAAGGUGGUGGCCUGUCUGGUGUGUGUAAAGGUGGUGGC